AUGGUGAAGGAGAAGGGGAAUGAGAAGGGAAAGGGUGCUGGUAAGGAGAAUGCGAAGGCGAAGGCAAAGGAGAAAAGCGUGAAUUACCUAAUUAGGCAAGAUUCGGCGUUGCCUCCGCCGGUUCCGAGGAAGAAGAGGAAGCCUAAGGUGCAGAUUAGGAAGGAGAAAGACUUUCCCAAUGCCCCAAUGGGAGAGUUGAUUUGUAGGUUAAAAAAACACCCUCCACCUCCGAGGCGUCUUCCCGACCGUACCGGUGCCGGCGUGCGUGCCGCGGAAGCCGCUGCCUCUACUAUUGUAAGAUUGCUUUACUUGAUGCUUGAUGUAGCCAUAUUUCCAUAUAACCAUAUAGGUGAUGCUUCAUGCUUUUUUGUGUGCUCAUGUGUGUUAGGUGGUAGAUGA
This 399-nucleotide ribosomal RNA is filed under the name Triticum aestivum (bread wheat). RNAcentral's name for it is "partial small subunit ribosomal RNA". Lineage: Eukaryota; Viridiplantae; Streptophyta; Magnoliopsida; Poales; Poaceae. The record is from RNAcentral.